RNAcentral lists this unclassified non-coding RNA (336 nucleotides) under soil metagenome. RNAcentral describes it as "partial contains 5.8S ribosomal RNA, internal transcribed spacer 2, and large subunit ribosomal RNA". The stretch from base 1 to 120 matches the Rfam family "5.8S ribosomal RNA", at positions 35 to 154 of the family's 154-position model. The record is from RNAcentral.
GAUGAAGAACGUAGCGAAAUGCGAUAAGUAAUGUGAAUUGCAGAAUUCAGUGAAUCAUCGAAUCUUUGAACGCACAUUGCGCCCGCCAGUAUUCUGGCGGGCAUGCCUGUUCGAGCGUCAUUUCAACCAUCAAGCCCCAGGCUUGUGUUGGGGACCUGCGGCUGCCGCAGGCCCCGAAAACCAGUGGCGGGCUCGCUGUCACACCGGGCGUAGUAGAUUUUAUCUCGCUCAGGGCGUGCUGCGGGUUCCGGCCGUUAAAAAGCCUUUUUUACCCAAGGUUGACCUCGGAUCAGGUAGGAAGACCCGCUGAACUUAAGCAUAUCAAUAAGCGGAGGA